This 460-nucleotide ribosomal RNA is filed under the name uncultured bacterium. RNAcentral describes it as "partial 16S ribosomal RNA". It matches the Rfam family "Bacterial small subunit ribosomal RNA", at positions 338 to 795 of the family's 1533-position model. The record is from RNAcentral.
CCUACGGGAGGCAGCAGUGAGGAAUAUUGGUCAAUGGGCGCGAGCCUGAACCACCACCGUCGCUUGUGUUCCUCCUUCCCUCCUUUUUUUCCCCCUCUUUUUCCUUUUAUCACCGGGCGCCACGUGUGGCGUCACUGAGAGUACCCGGAGAAAAAGCAUCGGCCAACUCCGUGCCAGCAGCCGAGGUAGUACGGAGGAUGCGAGCGUUAUCGGGAUUGAUUGGGUUAGAAGGGUGCGUAGGCGGAUUGUUAAGUCAGUGGGAAAAUUGAGGGGCUCAACCCCUUCCCGCCAUUGAAACUGGCGUUCUUGAGUGGAGGAGAGGUAUGCGGAAUGCGUGGUGUAGCGGUGAAAUGCAUAGAUAUCACGCAGAACCCCGAUUGCGAAGGCAGCAUGCCGGCUUCCGACUGACGCUGAGGCACGAAAGCGUGGGGAUCGAACAGGAUUAGAGAAAAGAGUAGUC